GUCUACGGCCAUGCCACCCUGAAUGUGCCGGAUCUCAUCUGAUCUCGGAAGCUAAGCAGAGUUGAGCCUGGUUAGUACUUGGAUGGGAGACAACCUAGGAAUACUAGGUGCCGUAAGCA
RNAcentral lists this ribosomal RNA (119 nucleotides) under Pteropus alecto (black flying fox). Lineage: Eukaryota; Metazoa; Chordata; Mammalia; Chiroptera; Pteropodidae. The record is from RNAcentral.